CCACACAACUUAUUUAAUAUCUUCAUACUAUGUUUUGAGUGUAUUAUAAGAUCAUUUAAAAAAUGAUUAUGUAGUUUUUACUUGCUGCCAUGUUUACCGUAUCUUGGGAAACCGCAAGUGUCAUUUACAGAUUUUCCAACUUUCGAUUUUGAAAAUUAGACAUGGAACCUCAGGUUUUCAUCAACAUAAAGGAUAUCCAGAAGUGUAACAAUAACAUUGUUAAAAGACUGAAGUCUCUAAACGAUUGUACGAAAUCAACAUGUCAACAAUGCCCAUUGGAUAUUGCACGAAUAGCCAAAGAUGUUGCGGACUUGGAAACUAGAAUGGAAACGCUCACAGCACACACAGAUGACACAAAUGCAUCAGAUAUUGCACGCCGAUUUGAUGAUAUUAAGUCACAACUAGACGACAUACAAAGACUGCUGCAUUUUCCAGACGCCAACCAUGAAUCUAAAAAUGUCACUCGGAUUAUCAGGCAACAUAAAAAGUAUUACAUUCCUGGCAGAGAAGACACUUGGCGAGCAGUGGCAGAUAAAUCACAAGAAAGAGCAUUACCAAACACUGUCCGCUCACGAUUCAUCCCUAUGGUACUGUGUUUGGACAUCUCCGAGAGUAUGUCGAGCAACAAUGGAUGGGGCCAGACCUUGGAGUUUGUUAAUGAUUUCCUAACCGAACUAAAAGAACUGAAAACAAACGACGAAAGAUUGUUAGAUGAAUACAUUGCUGUGACAACAUUCGGGCACGAAACAAAGUUACAGACGGCACUGACGAAUAAUUAUGACGAAAUUAGAGAGACCAUACAGGGACUUAUAUUAGGCGGACCGAGUCCGCUUUAUGGCGGCUUGUUAAUAAGCAUGGCAACAGCACAUAUUGCUAAAAGAAGAUACGUUCCAAAUAUAAACGGCUUAAAUUUAUCUCCGAGAAUAAUUGUAAUCACUGAUGGCUGUCCAACGGACACAAUGCUGCAUGCUGGGCCUGACAUUCAGGACGAAAGUAAAGUGGAACAGACCGAGUCUCACCUAGCAGAAGCUGUUGAAGAAAUUGAUAAACGAGACUUUGAAUUGUUUUUCAUCGGCGUUGGGAAAUGCAGAAAAACGUUCAUACAAAACAUGUCGACGCUUUGCCAGUCUAAGAUUUACUCGUACAAAGAUGGAAGGAGGCUUGCUCGCUUUGGGUUCUUUGAGUCACAGUUGGCUACACAUGGACUUGCUUUGACUUUUUCGUUAACAAACAGGCUCUCCGUUUGGGAUGAGGACGAUAUAAAAUUCAUUCGUGCUGACACGAAGAGACGUUGCGAAAGGCAGUACGGGCCAUUAUGUCAAGAGAGUAAUGACGCUAGUCUGCUGUCACUUGGAACCCGGGUACGCAGGGGACUAGCUUGGAACGAUGGAAACUUUGACCUUAAUGGGCCUGGUACUGUCACCGGAAAUUUUGAUGGGAAACUAUUGGUCACAUGGGAUUUGAAUGACCACACAAGCAGCUACAGGUACACCAGGGAAUGUUGUGAAGUGCAAGCAGUGGAUGAACCAAGAGUGCUAAAUCCUGCUGAGAGAAUGGAGACCGGUUGUAAAGUAAAACCAGGUGGAGAUUGCGUAUCACGGGAAAUAGGUAACUCAAACAGAGGAGUUGUUCUGAGAGUGGAAACACCACAUGCAACGAUUUGUUUACAUGUAAUAGUAUUUUCAACGUUGCUUCUGCCGCGGAUUUAGAUAAUAUACCACGAUACAGCCAACAUACUAUUACGACGUCAAAAUAAAGAUGAAAACGUUCUAGCAUGACAUUUCUUUAGAUGGACAAAAUCAGAUAUCAGGUGGGAUAACGGGCAUAUAGGGAAAUAUUGUUAUGGUGUGGACACCAAAUUUGAAAUCGAGCUUGAGCAAAUGAGCACCCCAGAAGGAGUAUAAUGACGGUACUGGUUCGAUUGACAUCAAAUUAAAAAAACACAAGACAUUCUGGAUUGUCCAGACUGCGCCAUUAUUUACAAUGGCUUACCUUUGUUACCAAUUGCAUGGGAAUGUGAUCAUACGUGUUCUUUAAGCAAUGCAAAGAACAUGGAAGAAUUCUAUGAUAUGAAAAUGUCGUAUUUCGUUUUGAAAAAGUUUUUUAUUGAAUCAAUUGUCUCAUGCACGUGUUGUUCUGAUGAAACAUGGAUUUUUUUAUGAACCACAAUAAAUGGACUUUGUUUGUAA
RNA transcript from Dreissena polymorpha, 2189 nucleotides. RefSeq lists it as uncharacterized. The transcript is spliced from 18 exons. The record is from RefSeq and is a predicted model, not a curated record. NCBI's taxonomy places the organism in Eukaryota, Metazoa, Mollusca, Bivalvia, Myida, Dreissenidae.